GUCGAUGAGGAUAUAAUCCAAUUGUAUGAGGUGCAGUGGAGUCGAGACCCUGUUUACAGGGAGAACCCCUUGGCAGAAACUGCAAUUUCUUUGAAUUCUAUGGAUUAAACUGAGAC
Small nucleolar RNA from Arabis alpina (gray rockcress), 116 nucleotides. It matches the Rfam family "Small nucleolar RNA Z278". From Rfam's summary of the family: snoZ278 is a C/D box small nucleolar RNA. Its methylation guide targets have not been reported. Lineage: Eukaryota; Viridiplantae; Streptophyta; Magnoliopsida; Brassicales; Brassicaceae. The record is from Rfam.